Gossypium arboreum is the source of this 435-nucleotide long non-coding RNA. RefSeq lists it as uncharacterized. The transcript is spliced from 2 exons. The record is from RefSeq and is a predicted model, not a curated record. NCBI's taxonomy places the organism in Eukaryota, Viridiplantae, Streptophyta, Magnoliopsida, Malvales, Malvaceae.
UAACAUUUUAAUAGUUAAUGGAUGAUGGGCAUGAUAAGCAUUAUGGGCAUAUUUUUAUUGGAAUUAUGGCAUGAGUAUGGCACAAAUAUUAGUAUAUCAUUUAUGUGUCAUAAAAUGUUGAGUGAUAAGAAUAACAAAAGGAAGUAAAGGAAGGUUGUUGUUCAUUCUUUGUUCUUCAUAGCUGAAUUUGAGAGAGAGAGCAAAUAGGGGAGGAAACCCUUGAAUAUUCGGUCACUAGGAGGGGGAAAAAUUGAAGGUGUGGUUGGCCGAAUAUUGUAAGGGGUUUGUCAUAACCAUUUGUUGGAAAACGGGAAUCGACUUGGAUUUUGAGAAUGAAAACUAAAAAAAGCUGGAGUCGCCACCGAUUUUUUUUGAUGAGGUGUGAUCGGGUCACCUUUGAUUAAUCAUUUUAAUAAAGUUUAAGAUUUACUAAAA